RNAcentral lists this transfer RNA (65 nucleotides) under Phalangium opilio (common harvesterman). RNAcentral's name for it is "tRNA-Arg". Lineage: Eukaryota; Metazoa; Arthropoda; Arachnida; Opiliones; Phalangiidae. The record is from RNAcentral.
UUAAUAAAAGUGAAAUUAUCACAUUCAGUUUCGACCUGAAAAUUUGAACUAACAUUCUUAUUUUA